GUGGGGGGGACGCAGACCUAGUUACCCCAGGAUCUUCCGAGGCGGGGCAGGAGAAGGCCCACCCCCGAGGGCUGCUCCCCACCACCCCCCUUCGCCCAGCAUGUGAGUCAGAGGAAACCACCCACAGCUCAGCGGGGUUUAAUGAAAGGAAGAGAUUCAUUCUCCCUGGAGCGGAAUAGGCACUCGGUCUGGAAAGCCCCAGCGUUCAAG
This 210-nucleotide long non-coding RNA is filed under the name Felis catus (domestic cat). RNAcentral's name for it is "lncRNA (ENSFCAG00000049960.1)". Lineage: Eukaryota; Metazoa; Chordata; Mammalia; Carnivora; Felidae. The record is from RNAcentral.